RNAcentral lists this ribosomal RNA (497 nucleotides) under uncultured bacterium. RNAcentral's name for it is "partial 16S ribosomal RNA". It matches the Rfam family "Bacterial small subunit ribosomal RNA", at positions 28 to 507 of the family's 1533-position model. The record is from RNAcentral.
GAUGAACGCUGGCGGCGUGCCUAAUACAUGCAAGUCGAGCGAACAGACGAGGAUUUUGCUCCUCUGACGUUGGCGGCGGACGGGUGAGUAACAGGUGGAUAACCGACCUAUAAGACUGGGAUAACGUCGGGAAACCGGAGCUAAUACCGGAGAAUAUAUUGAACCGCAUGGUUCAAUAGUGAAAGAGGGUUUUGCUGUCCCUUAGAGAUGGAUGCUCGUCGCAUUAGCUAGUUGGUAAGGUAACGGCUUACCAAGGCAACGAUGCGUAGCCGACCUGAGAGGCUGAUCGGCCACCCUGGAACUGAGACACGGUCCAGACUCCUACGGCAGGCCGCAGUAGGGAAUCUUACGCAAUGGGCGAAAGCCUGACGGAGCGACGCCGCGUGAGUGAUGAAGGUCUUCGGAUCGUAAAGCUCUCUUACUAGGGAAGAACAAAUGUGUAAGUAACUAUACACGUCUUGACGGUACCUAAUCAGAAAGCCACGGCUAACUACGUG